This 254-nucleotide ribosomal RNA is filed under the name uncultured bacterium. RNAcentral's name for it is "partial 16S ribosomal RNA". It matches the Rfam family "Bacterial small subunit ribosomal RNA", at positions 524 to 776 of the family's 1533-position model. The record is from RNAcentral.
UACGUAGGGGGCAAGCGUUGUCCGGAAUCAUUGGGCGUAAAGAGCUCGUAGGCGGCUCAAUAAGUCGGGUGUGAAACCCCCAGGCUCAACCUGGGGACGCCACCCGAUACUGUUGUGGCUAGAGUCCAGUAGGGGAGUGUGGAAUUCCCGGUGUAGCGGUGAAAUGCGCAGAUAUCGGGAGGAACACCAGCGGCGAAGGCGGCACUCUGGGCUGGUACUGACGCUGAGGAGCGAAAGCGUGGGUAGCAAACAGG